GUGGGGAAUCUUGCGCAAUGGGCGAAAGCCUGAUCCAGCCAUGCCGCGUGAACGAUGAAGGCCUUCGGGUUGUAAAGUUCUUUAGCCGAUGAUUAUAAUGACUGUAGUCGGAAAAUAAGCCCCGGCUAACUUCGUGCCAGCAGCCGCGGUAAUACGAAGGGGGCGAGCGUUAUUCGGAAUCACUGGGCGUAAAGCGUGCGUAGGCGGUUUUGUAAGUUAGGAGUGAAAGCCCAGGGCUCAACCUUGGAAUUGCUCUUAAAACUGCAAGGCUCGAAUCUCGGAGAGGAUAGCGGAAUUUCCAGUGUAGCAGUGAAAUGCGUAGAUAUUGGAAGGAACACCAGUGGCGUAAGCGGCUAUCUGGACGAGUAUUGACGCUGAGGCACGAAAGCGUGGGGAUCAAACAGGAUUAGAAACCCGAGUAGUCC
RNAcentral lists this ribosomal RNA (425 nucleotides) under uncultured bacterium. RNAcentral describes it as "bacterial SSU rRNA". It matches the Rfam family "Bacterial small subunit ribosomal RNA", at positions 354 to 796 of the family's 1533-position model. The record is from RNAcentral.